This 1829-nucleotide unclassified non-coding RNA is filed under the name Hevea brasiliensis (rubber tree). Lineage: Eukaryota; Viridiplantae; Streptophyta; Magnoliopsida; Malpighiales; Euphorbiaceae. The record is from RNAcentral.
CUCUAUUCCUCCCUCUAUUGGAAACCUGACCAGCUUAAUCUCACUCCGUUUGAGAGGAAAUAAUCUUCAUGGCAACAUUCCUGCCAGUCUAGCAAAAUGCCAAAAUUUGCUAGAAUUGGAUCUUUCACUUAACAAUUUCAGUGGAGCCAUACCCCCAGAAAUUAUGGAUCUUUCCACCUUAUCAAUCGUUCUUGAUUUGUCUUAUAAUCGUCUAAGCGGUUUUCUUCCCAAUCAAGUCCAAAAUUUGAGGAAUUUGGGUUAUUUGGAUGUUUCCAAUAACGUGCUGUCUGGUGAGAUUCCCAGCAGCCUUGGAGAUUGUAUACGUUUGGAAGUUCUGUACAUGGAAAGCAAUUUUUUCCAAGGGAUCAUUCCUUCUUCUUUGAGUUCAUUGAAGGGUCUUCAAGGGUUAGAUAUAUCUCGCAACAAUUUUUCAGGACAGAUUCCGAAGUUUUUGGCAGGGUUCAAGUCAUUACAAGUUUUGAAUUUGUCUUAUAACAAUUUUGAUGGUAUGGUGCCCAUUGAAGGAGUUUUCAAGAAUGCAACUGCAACUUUAGUUAUGGGAAAUCGCAAUCUUUGUGGUGGCAUACCUGAAUUUCAGUUACCCAGAUGCAGUUUUGAUAAGCCGAAGAAGAGAAUAAAUCUGACAAUGAAGGUAAUAAUCUCCAUAAUAUCUCUGCUUCUAGGAAUCACAAUUGUACUCGCUUGUGUAUUUUGUUGUUGGUCAAGAAAAAGAAAAAGAGAGAGUACAUCAGAUGCAUAUGGGAAUAUGUUAUUGGAGGUGUCUUAUCAAAGUAUCCUAAAAGCUACUAAUGAAUUCUCCUCAGCAAAUUUGAUCGGCACUGGUAGCUUUGGUUCUGUAUACAAAGGAAUUCUCGAUCGACAAGGAAUCAUUGUUGCUGUUAAAGUGCUUAAUCUUAUGCGUCAAGGAGCUUCUAAAAGUUUCAUAACUGAGUGUGAAGCCUUGAGAAAUAUUAGACAUCGAAAUCUUGUCAAGGUAUUAACAGCAUGUUCAAGUAUUGAUUUUCAUGGCAAUGACUUUAAGGCUUUGAUUUAUGAGUUUAUGGUUAAUGGGAGCUUGGAGGAAUGGUUACAUCCUCCUCCAAUGUUGGAUGAAAAGCCAAAAUGUCUAAAUCUUCUCCAAAGACUAAGUAUAGCCAUUGACAUUGCUUGCGCAUUGGAAUAUCUCCACCACAAUUGCCAAAUACCAAUAGUUCAUUGUGAUCUCAAACCGAGUAAUGUUCUUCUUGAUGAUAAAAUGACAGCACGAGUAAGUGAUUUUGGAUUAGCAAAGUUCAUUUCUAAAAGCAACUUUCAAUCAUCUUUGGAUCAAACAAAAUCAAUUGGAGUAAGAGGAACUAUUGGCUAUAUUCCUCCAGAAUAUGGUGUGGGGAGUGAAGUAUCUACAUAUGGUGAUAUAUACAGUUAUGGGGUGCUUUUGUUAGAGAUAUUCACCGGAAAGAGGCCCACAGAUGAUGUUUUUGGAGAAGGUUUAAAUCUUAUUGGCUUUGUCAAGAGAGCUUUACCUAAAAGAUCAACACAAAUUGUAGAUCCUAAUCUUCUUCAAGACGAGAACAAUGGCAUUCUUAAUGAGUGCUUAAUUUCAAUAUUUGAAAUUGGAAUCUCUUGUUCUGUUGAAUUGCCUCAAGAGCGUAUGAAAAUUAGUGAUGUUUUUGCUAAGCUCAGCACUAUCAAAAUCAGACUUCUAGGAGCGGCAGGAAUAUGAUAAAACAAAGAUGUUGUAAUUUGAUUAUCAUCAAUGUAAUGUUGACUUUAUGUCUAAUUCAGUGUGAACUUUGGAGCACAGUUCAAUAAAAACUUUUUAAUCCCCU